UGAGCAAGUUUUGCAGGCUUUGCUACUCCCAAGCUGUCAUUUCAAGGUUAUGGCUUUAAAACAACAGAAGGCAGCUUUCCACCUGCACCUUCCUUAAUGGAAACAGCCAGGCUCCAGCCUGCCUCUGGGAAAAAGAAAACCUUGGAGUAUAAAGAAAUAUGAAGCAAUGCCGUCAGCUGAGAGUGGGAAGCCUGAAAGAGUGGAAGAAUGAAUCGACUAGGGAAAUGUGAUGUGGUCACAGAGAAGAUCGAAGGAGAUGAACAGGGGAAGAAGGUGUUUGUAUUGCACCCACUCUGGUCAGACUACCCCUCAACCAACCACGACUCAAGGGAUACAGGACUGUCCUGCUGGCUUGGACUCUUCUGGACUCGUCCCGAUGGCUUCUAGGGUUCCUUCCAUUCGUGCUGGCUACACGAUGGGGAGAGGUGGAGUAGUGAUCAGAAUGUCUUCCACUAUGUGACACUGAAACUGGCCGGGCAUCAGCCUCCUCUGUGUCUCUGGUUACCUGUCCCAGAGCAAGGAAGGGCUCCUGAGUAGAGUCCCUUCCUCUUCUGCGGUGAAGUGUGGAGGACCAGGGCAGCGGCACAGGCAGAGCACCAAGGCAAGGAUACGAAU
Long non-coding RNA from Sciurus carolinensis (gray squirrel), 615 nucleotides. RefSeq lists it as uncharacterized. The record is from RefSeq and is a predicted model, not a curated record. NCBI's taxonomy places the organism in Eukaryota, Metazoa, Chordata, Mammalia, Rodentia, Sciuridae. The transcript has 3 exons.